CCUACGGGUGGCAGCAGUGAGGAAUAUUGGUCAAUGGACGAGAGUCUGAACCAGCCAAGUAGCGUGAAGGAUGACUGCCCUAUGGGUUGUAAACUUCUUUUAUAUGGGAAUAAAAUGUUCCACGUGUGGGAUUUUGUAUGUAUCAUAUGAAUAAGGAUCGGCUAACUCCGUGCCAGCAGCCGCGGUAAUACGGAGGAUCCGAGCGUUAUCCGGAUUUAUUGGGUUUAAAGGGAGCGUAGGUGGAUUGUUAAGUCAGUUGUGAAAGUUUGCGGCUCAACCGCAAAAUUGCAGUUGAAACUGGCAGGCUUGAGUACAGUAGAGGUAGGCGGAAUGCGUGGUGUAGCGGUGAAAUGCUUAGAUAUCACGAAGAACUCCGAUUGCGAAGGCAGCUCACUGGACUGCAACUGACACUGAGGCUCGAAAGUGUGGGUAUCAAACAGGAUUAGAUACCCUUGUAGUC
Molecule: ribosomal RNA, 460 nt
Filed under: uncultured bacterium
Lineage: Bacteria
Description: partial 16S ribosomal RNA
Rfam family: Bacterial small subunit ribosomal RNA
Source: RNAcentral